CAUGGGCUAGAACGAACUAAAUAGUUGAAUGACCCAAGAUUCCGAGUAAUCCCGAAGAAUUCUCGGGAAAUGACGUACUUCCGCUUACGUUGAGAUUCUCUUCCCUAAUCUGAGGAUUACAGGGCUCAAUCACUUUGUCCCAGUUCGUUGAGUAGAGUGGUAGUGACGCGAUUUUGCUCCGUUUAUUAAAAAGUGUUCAAAGCCAGAAAAUAAAGUGUGUGAGUUUAUCGUGUGCGGAAUAGAUUUGUGUGCUGAUAGAAAGAUAAGGUUAUCAUCCGUACGAAAGCACGCUCGCUGGACACCGUUCGCUGACUGCGUCACUCGCCACAUCCUGGAGGACAGAUUUGCCCGACGCACGUUUUUCCGUCGGAAGGGAGUCGAUCCGCUACAACAUCGCUCCAUUGGAAGUGAUCUUCCGGUGGC
This is a long non-coding RNA of Malaya genurostris, 423 nucleotides long. RefSeq lists it as uncharacterized. NCBI's taxonomy places the organism in Eukaryota, Metazoa, Arthropoda, Insecta, Diptera, Culicidae. The transcript is spliced from 3 exons. The record is from RefSeq and is a predicted model, not a curated record.